GGGUGGCCGGCCAUGUGCUAUUUUAGAGUGGUGUGAACCCAAUUUUAUAAAGUUUAACUCCCAUUUAAUUAAGAAGUCAAGUGGGCAAGUGGGUAGAAAAACACUAAAGUGUUUUGUGAUAUUUUGAAGAGUUGUGUGAGCCAUUCUAACCCCCAAAUCCGACCACUCUCCCUCCCUCAUUCACUCUCAUCUGAUUUUUGAAGACUCUCUCAAGUGUUCUCUCUAUUUUCAACCCCAAGAACACCAAAGAAACUUGGAAGCUAAGUCUUGGUCUAGGAAGGGUUUUCCCUAAGUUGGUUAGGGUUUUUGAAAGGUUUUGGAGGAGCCAAAGCUAAUAGGAAGGUCCAAACCUUAAGCAAGAACACCAAAGAGUAUUGGCUAAGCGUAAUUGGACUGAACGUUGGAGGGUGAAAACCUGCUGAGCGCUAAGGACUCCAAGUAAGGGCAAGGGCAAGGGCAAGGCAGAGCAGUGAGCGCUGGAGUCUUCCUUGCAAAUGUACAUGUGGACCGACCUUUUGGGAAGCCUUUUUAUUUUUGGAAAUGUUGUGUAAUUUUCCUAAACUAGGCUCACUCUAAUCUUUAUAAAACAUGUUUGUAACUAAA
Long non-coding RNA from Humulus lupulus (European hop), 603 nucleotides. RefSeq lists it as uncharacterized. The transcript is spliced from 4 exons. The record is from RefSeq and is a predicted model, not a curated record. NCBI's taxonomy places the organism in Eukaryota, Viridiplantae, Streptophyta, Magnoliopsida, Rosales, Cannabaceae.